This 1443-nucleotide ribosomal RNA is filed under the name human gut metagenome. Its description in RNAcentral is "bacterial LSU rRNA". It matches the Rfam family "Bacterial large subunit ribosomal RNA", at positions 979 to 2499 of the family's 2925-position model. The record is from RNAcentral.
AGCAGUCAGACAGUGUGAGAUAAGUUUCAUUGUCAAAAGGGAAACAGCCCAGACCUACAGCUAAGGUCCCAAAUGUAUGCUAAGUGGAAAACGAUGUGGAGUUGCGAAAACAACCAGGAUGUUGGCUUAGAAGCAGCCACUCAUUAAAAGAGUGCGUAAUAGCUCACUGGUCGAGUGACUCUGCGCGGAAAAUAUAACGGGGCUAAGUAUGCAACCGAAGCUUAGGAUGUCCGCAAGGGCGUGGUAGGGGAGCGUCGUGUACGGGGUGAAGUCGCAGCGGAAGCAGCGGUGGACUGUACAGGAGUGAGAAUGCCGGAAUGAGUAGCGAGAAUUAUGUGGGAAUCAUAAUGGCCGAAAAUCUAAGGUUUCUUGGGGAAGGUUCGUCCGCCCAAGGUAAGCCGGGAGCUAAGGCGAGGCCGCGAGGCGUAGUCGAUGCACAUACGGUAGAAAUUCCGUAGCCACCGAACUUUAAACCAGAAGGACACUUUCAGAUAGCGGGACCCAGCCGUUGGUAGAGCUGGGCGCAAGGGACCGAAAUAUAGUAGGGAAGUCCGCGAUGCUGGGAGGCGAGAAAAGCUCUGGUGUACACUAAGGUGCCCGUACCGCAAACCGACACAGGUAGAUGAGGAGAGAAUCCUAAGGCCAACGGGAGAAGGGUUGUUAAGGAACUCGGCAAAUUGACCCCGUAACUUCGGAAGAAGGGGAGCCUCGAAAGAGGCCGCAGUGAAUAGGCCCAAGCAACUGUUUACCAAAAACACAGGUCUAUGCUAAAUCGAAAGAUGACGUAUAUGGGCUGACGCCUGCCCGGUGCCGGAAGGUUAAGAGGAGAGCUUAGCGCAAGCGAAGGUUUGAAUUGAAGCCCCGGUAAACGGCGGCCGUAACUAUAACGGUCCUAAGGUAGCGAAAUUCCUUGUCAGGUAAGUUCUGACCCGCACGAAUGGCGUAAUGAUUUGGGCACUGUCUCAACAGCCCGCCCGGCGAAAUUGUAGUACUGGUGAAGAUGCCAGUUACCCGCAACUAGACGGAAAGACCCCAUGGAGCUUUACUGCAGUUUAAUACUGGGAAUCGGUAAUUCAUGUACAGGAUAGGUGGGAGACUGAGAAGCAUGGCCGUCAGGUCGUGUGGAGUCACCGGUGGGAUACCACUCUUGGAUUGCUGGUUUCCUAACCUGCGGCCCUGAAUCGGGUCGGGGGACACUGUUAGACGGGCAGUUUGACUGGGGCGGUCGCCUCCAAAAGAGUAACGGAGGCGCUCAAAGGUUCGUUCAGCACGGACGGAAAUCGUGCAUUGAGUGUAAACGCAUAAACGAGCCUAACUGCGAGACCGACGGGUCGAGCAGUAACGAAAGUUGGAGUUAGUGAUCCGGUGGUAUGUGAGUGGAAAUGCCAUCGCUCAACGGAUAAAAGCUACCCUGGGGAUAACAGGCUGAUCUCCCCCAAGCGU